This 1211-nucleotide long non-coding RNA is filed under the name Malus domestica (apple). Its description in RNAcentral is "long non-coding RNA (MDOM_LNC014003)". Lineage: Eukaryota; Viridiplantae; Streptophyta; Magnoliopsida; Rosales; Rosaceae. The record is from RNAcentral.
UUAGACUGACAUUGCCUCAAAUUUAAAUUAAGUGAAAUAUGUGCACCAACAAAAGUCUUUUUUCAAUGUUGAAAUAGAUCUCAAGUUCGUAUUUCCUCCAAUAAUAAUAUUAAAAAAAAUUACACAACACAAUUUAUAAAAUCUCUUUAAUUAUCAACCUAACAAUAAGUUAGUAUAUGCUUGUGAAGCCAAAAAUAAUCAAGAAAAUUAUGGAGGCGACACAUGUACUUUUUGGUGAAAAAGACAAAAUUACCCUCGAGGCACACUGGGAUUCUGACGCGCAUGCAACGGACAAUAACGGCUCAAUCAAGAAAGAGUCAAACGUGAUCAAAAUGGUAUUAUUGAAAACCCUCUCAUCACUACUCAUCAAAUCCUCACUCAAAAGGUAACUCCUAAUUUUCUUAUUCAAUUUGGAAUUAAUUGCCAAGUUAAUUGCAAGAUAUUAUUUCACAUUCCCCUAUGUGGCUGACCCCUAUUCUCCAAAUAGGGCCGAUCAUUCCCCUAUAAAUAUCCAUGUUUUCUCACUAAAAUGCUAGGUCAUUCUCUCCCCAAAAAUUCCUAAGCACUUUCUCUCUCAAAUUCCUAAACACUUUCCCCCAUUCAUUGUGGCCGCAUAAGGCUUUUAGCCUUAAUCUUAGGUGUUAUUAUUUUGCAGGUGCAUUUUCGUCAAAGGUGAACACUGCGGAAAUUUGCAUCCACAAAUUGGUGCUUUCAUUGAGAGCUUGAUUCACACGCUCAAAGAAGACUCUUGCAUUCAAAGUUUUCCAUUUCUCAUUCAUUUGUAGAUUUUUCGUACAUUCUUAUUCCUAGAAUUUUUUAUAAAGUUCUUUGAAUAAACCGUAGAAGAAAAGUACAAUGACUAGAAAUUUGACAACCAUAGCGAACAUAACUUCCUACGUUUAAGGAUUUGGACCAAGCAAUAGAGAUUAAGGCAUAGCCCCACCACGAAGAUCCGCAAGGCUUAACAUAAGGGCUAGUGGAGCGGCACCACCCCCAAAGGGCACCACCGUGGUAGCUGUAGGCGAGCCCUCUACCUACAGUGAACAGGUAACCAUGUAGUAGCAAGCCCAUGCCCGCGCCACCUCACAACAGCAGACCCAGGCUCACACUACAAGACCGCAAACCUAGCGCGAAGCAGCCCAAAAUGCUGAUCCUAGUAAGUCUAAGAGAUGUAAGCCCAAACCCAAGGCAGCUGCAGGACCAAGGUAACA